AACGGAAAGGCCCUGCUUUUGUGGGGUGCUCGAGUGGCGAACGGGUGAGUAACACGUGAGUAACCUGCCCUUGACUUUGGGAUAACUUCAGGAAACUGGGGCUAAUACCGGAUAGGAGCUCCUGCUGCAUGGUGGGGGUUGGAAAGUUUCGGCGGUUGGGGAUGGACUCGCGGCUUAUCAGCUUGUUGGUGGGGUAGUGGCUUACCAAGGCUUUGACGGGUAGCCGGCCUGAGAGGGUGACCGGCCACAUUGGGACUGAGAUACGGCCCAGACUCCUACGGGAGGCAGCAGUGGGGAAUAUUGCACAAUGGGCGGAAGCCUGAUGCAGCAACGCCGCGUGCGGGAUGACGGCCUUCGGGUUGUAAACCGCUUUCGCCUGUGACGAAGCGUGAGUGACGGUAAUGGGUAAAGAAGCACCGGCUAACUACGUGCCAGCAGCCGCGGUGAUACGUAGGGUGCGAGCGUUGUCCGGAUUUAUUGGGCGUAAAGGGCUCGUAGGUGGUUGAUCGCGUCGGAAGUGUAAUCUUGGGGCUUAACCCUGAGCGUGCUUUCGAUACGGGUUGACUUGAGGAAGGUAGGGGAGAAUGGAAUUCCUGGUGGAGCGGUGGAAUGCGCAGAUAUCAGGAGGAACACCAGUGGCGAAGGCGGUUCUCUGGGCCUUUCCUGACGCUGAGGAGCGAAAGCGUGGGGAGCGAACAGGCUUAGAUACCCUGGU
RNAcentral lists this ribosomal RNA (715 nucleotides) under uncultured Propionibacterium sp. RNAcentral describes it as "bacterial SSU rRNA". It matches the Rfam family "Bacterial small subunit ribosomal RNA", at positions 65 to 791 of the family's 1533-position model. The record is from RNAcentral. Lineage: Bacteria; Bacillati; Actinomycetota; Actinomycetes; Propionibacteriales; Propionibacteriaceae.